CCUUAGAGUUUGAUCCUGGCUCAGGAUGAACGCUAGCUACAGGCUUAACACAUGCAAGUCGAGGGGCAGCGGGAUUGAAGCUUGCUUCAAUUGCCGGCGACCGGCGCACGGGUGAGUAACGCGUAUCCAACCUUCCGUACACUCAGGGAUAGCCUUUCGAAAGAAAGAUUAAUACCUGAUGGUAUGAUGAGAUUGCAUGAUAGCAUCAUUAAAGAUUUAUCGGUGUACGAUGGGGAUGCGUUCCAUUAGGUAGUAGGCGGGGUAACGGCCCACCUAGCCAACGAUGGAUAGGGGUUCUGAGAGGAAGGUCCCCCACAUUGGAACUGAGACACGGUCCAAACUCCUACGGGAGGCAGCAGUGAGGAAUAUUGGUCAAUGGACGAGAGUCUGAACCAGCCAAGUAGCGUGAAGGAUGAAGGUCCUACGGAUUGUAAACUUCUUUUAUAAGGGAAUAAACCCUCCCACGUGUGGGAGCUUGUAUGUACCUUAUGAAUAAGCAUCGGCUAACUCCGUGCCAGCAGCCGCGGUAAUACGGAGGAUGCGAGCGUUAUCCGGAUUUAUUGGGUUUAAAGGGAGCGCAGACGGGUCGUUAAGUCAGCUGUGAAAGUUUGGGGCUCAACCUUAAAAUUGCAGUUGAUACUGGCGUCCUUGAGUGCGGUUGAGGUGUGCGGAAUUCGUGGUGUGGCGGUGAAAUGCUUAGAUAUCACGAAGAACUCCGAUUGCGAAGGCAGCACACUAAUCCGUAACUGACGUUCAUGCUCGAAAGUGUGGGUAUCAAACAGGAUUAGAUACCCUGGUAGUCCACACGGUAAACGAUGGAUACUCGCUGUUGGCGAUAUACUGUCAGCGGCUUAGCGAAAGCGUUAAGUAUCCCACCUGGGGAGUACGCCGGCAACGG
This 898-nucleotide ribosomal RNA is filed under the name uncultured bacterium. RNAcentral describes it as "bacterial SSU rRNA". It matches the Rfam family "Bacterial small subunit ribosomal RNA", at positions 1 to 894 of the family's 1533-position model. The record is from RNAcentral.